RNAcentral lists this ribosomal RNA (1554 nucleotides) under Staphylococcus aureus. Its description in RNAcentral is "16S ribosomal RNA". It matches the Rfam family "Bacterial small subunit ribosomal RNA". Lineage: Bacteria; Bacillati; Bacillota; Bacilli; Caryophanales; Staphylococcaceae. The record is from RNAcentral.
UUUAUGGAGAGUUUGAUCCUGGCUCAGGAUGAACGCUGGCGGCGUGCCUAAUACAUGCAAGUCGAGCGAACGGACGAGAAGCUUGCUUCUCUGAUGUUAGCGGCGGACGGGUGAGUAACACGUGGAUAACCUACCUAUAAGACUGGGAUAACUUCGGGAAACCGGAGCUAAUACCGGAUAAUAUUUUGAACCGCAUGGUUCAAAAGUAAAAGACGGUCUUGCUGUCACUUAUAGAUGGAUCCGCGCUGCAUUAGCUAGUUGGUAAGGUGACGGCUUACCAAGGCAACGAUGCAUAGCCGACCUGAGAGGGUGAUCGGCCACACUGGAACUGAGACACGGUCCAGACUCCUACGGGAGGCAGCAGUAGGGAAUCUUCCGCAAUGGGCGAAAGCCUGACGGAGCAACGCCGCGUGAGUGAUGAAGGUCUUCGGAUCGUAAAACUCUGUUAUUAGGGAAGAACAUAUGUGUAAGUAACUGUGCACAUCUUGACGGUACCUAAUCAGAAAGCCACGGCUAACUACGUGCCAGCAGCCGCGGUAAUACGUAGGUGGCAAGCGUUAUCCGGAAUUAUUGGGCGUAAAGCGCGCGUAGGCGGUUUUUUAAGUCUGAUGUGAAAGCCCACGGCUCAACCGUGGAGGGUCAUUGGAAACUGGAAAACUUGAGUGCAGAAGAGGAAAGUGGAAUUCCAUGUGUAGCGGUGAAAUGCGCAGAGAUAUGGAGGAACACCAGUGGCGAAGGCGACUUUCUGGUCUGUAACUGACGCUGAUGUGCGAAAGCGUGGGGAUCAAACAGGAUUAGAUACCCUGGUAGUCCACGCCGUAAACGAUGAGUGCUAAGUGUUAGGGGGUUUCCGCCCCUUAGUGCUGCAGCUAACGCAUUAAGCACUCCGCCUGGGGAGUACGACCGCAAGGUUGAAACUCAAAGGAAUUGACGGGGACCCGCACAAGCGGUGGAGCAUGUGGUUUAAUUCGAAGCAACGCGAAGAACCUUACCAAAUCUUGACAUCCUUUGACAACUCUAGAGAUAGAGCCUUCCCCUUCGGGGGACAAAGUGACAGGUGGUGCAUGGUUGUCGUCAGCUCGUGUCGUGAGAUGUUGGGUUAAGUCCCGCAACGAGCGCAACCCUUAAGCUUAGUUGCCAUCAUUAAGUUGGGCACUCUAAGUUGACUGCCGGUGACAAACCGGAGGAAGGUGGGGAUGACGUCAAAUCAUCAUGCCCCUUAUGAUUUGGGCUACACACGUGCUACAAUGGACAAUACAAAGGGCAGCGAAACCGCGAGGUCAAGCAAAUCCCAUAAAGUUGUUCUCAGUUCGGAUUGUAGUCUGCAACUCGACUACAUGAAGCUGGAAUCGCUAGUAAUCGUAGAUCAGCAUGCUACGGUGAAUACGUUCCCGGGUCUUGUACACACCGCCCGUCACACCACGAGAGUUUGUAACACCCGAAGCCGGUGGAGUAACCUUUUAGGAGCUAGCCGUCGAAGGUGGGACAAAUGAUUGGGGUGAAGUCGUAACAAGGUAGCCGUAUCGGAAGGUGCGGCUGGAUCACCUCCUUUCU